UGAGUGACAGUCCUCGAGAUCUGCCUCAG
This 29-nucleotide non-coding RNA is filed under the name Mus musculus (house mouse). Lineage: Eukaryota; Metazoa; Chordata; Mammalia; Rodentia; Muridae. The record is from RNAcentral.